Molecule: ribosomal RNA, 468 nt
Filed under: uncultured bacterium
Lineage: Bacteria
Description: partial 16S ribosomal RNA
Rfam family: Bacterial small subunit ribosomal RNA
Source: RNAcentral
GACGAACGCUGGCGGCGUGCUUAACACAUGCAAGUCGAACGAACAGGCCCUGCUUUUGUGUGGUGCUCGAGUGGCGCACGGGUGAGUAACACGUGUGUAACCUGCCCUUGACUUUGGGAUAACUUCAGGAGACUGGGGCUAAUACCGGAUAUGAUCUCCUGCUGCAUGUUGUGGGUUGGAAAGUUUCGGCGGUAGGGGAUGGACUCGCGGCUUAUCAGCUUGUUGGUGGGGUAGUGGCUUACCAAGGCUUUGACGGGUAGCCGGCCUGAGAGGGUGACCGGCGACAUUGGGACUGAGGUACGGAGCAGACGGGUAUGGGAGGCAGUAGUGGGGAAUAUUGCAGAAUGGGCGGAAGCCUGAGGCAGCAAUGCCGCGUGCGGGAUGACGGCCUACGGGUUGAAAACAGAUGUGGAAGGUGACGAAGCGUGAGUGACGGUAACGGAUAAAGAAGCACCGGCUAACUACGUG